Hippocampus zosterae (dwarf seahorse) is the source of this 490-nucleotide long non-coding RNA. RefSeq lists it as uncharacterized. Lineage: Eukaryota; Metazoa; Chordata; Actinopteri; Syngnathiformes; Syngnathidae. The transcript is spliced from 2 exons. The record is from RefSeq and is a predicted model, not a curated record.
CCCCCCCGUCCUCUCAUUAGUUGGUCGGCGCAAAACUCGUUACAGCCAUCAUCGACUCGCAGAACACAUUUGAGCAAUCGGCGCACGUGACCGCAUUGAAUAAUGUCCCGCCAUUCGGUUUCUUUUUACGCCACUUAUCCGCAUUCGGGGCGACGGGUGGACUACACCCGGAAUUGGUUGCCAGUCCAAUCGCAAAGGACACAACAAGCAUUCACGCUCACAUUUAGGACGACUCGGUGACCCUAACAUGCAUGUUUUUGCACAGCUCUCACUGCUGUGACAGUUUCCAAAAUCAUCGCCGUUGGGAAAUUCCUCUUUUGACUUGAAUUUACACGAUAGAUAAAUAAAAAGACUUCAUUGAAACCCGGCGGCGGCGGCAGUAAAAAUGACUCCGCGCGUGCCAGUGAGCACCGACGUUUUCUUCAACAAUAAAUCCAGCAUCGCAUCGGCUUGGUGAUCAUCUGCGUUUGCCAUCAGAAUAAAAGAAAAA